CACUCCUGCGGGAGGCAGCAGUGGGGAAUUUUGGACAAUGGGCGAAAGCCUGAUCCAGCCAUGCCGCGUGCAGGAUGAAGGCCUUCGGGUUGUAAACUGCUUUUGUACGGAACGAAACGGCCUUUUCUAAUAAAGAGGGCUAAUGACGGUACCGUAAGAAUAAGCACCGGCUAACUACGUGCCAGCAGCCGCGGUAAUACGUAGGGUGCAAGCGUUAAUCGGAAUUACUGGGCGUAAAGCGUGCGCAGGCGGUUAUGUAAGACAGUUGUGAAAUCCCCGGGCUCAACCUGGGAACUGCAUCUGUGACUGCAUAGCUAGAGUACGGUAGAGGGGGAUGGAAUUCCGCGUGUAGCAGUGAAAUGCGUAGAUAUGCGGAGGAACACCGAUGGCGAAGGCAAUCCCCUGGACCUGUACUGACGCUCAUGCACGAAAGCGUGGGGAGCAAACAGGAUUAGAAACCCCAGUAGUCCCAUG
RNAcentral lists this ribosomal RNA (474 nucleotides) under uncultured organism. RNAcentral describes it as "partial 16S ribosomal RNA". It matches the Rfam family "Bacterial small subunit ribosomal RNA", at positions 334 to 799 of the family's 1533-position model. The record is from RNAcentral.